UCCGGUUGAUCCUGCCGGACCUGACUGCUAUCGGAUUGGUACUAAGCCAUGCGAGUCGUUGUACAAUACAAGGCGGACUGCUCAGUAACACGUAGUUGACUUAACCUAUGGAUGGGAAUAACCUCGGGAAACUGAGAAUAAUACCCAAUAGACCACAGUGCCUGGAAUGGCCUGUGGUUGAAAUGAUUUAUCGCCGUAGGAUAGGACUGCGGCCUAUCAGCUUGUUGGUGAGGUAAUGGCCCACCAAGGCUAUAACAGGUACGGGCUCUGAGAGGAGGGGCCCGGAGAUGGGUACUGAGACACGGACCCAGGCCCUAUGGGGCGCAGCAGGCGAGAAACCUUUGCAAUGUGCGAAAGCACGACAAGGUUAAUCCGAGUGUCUCCUGCUAAAGGAGUCUUUUGUCAGUUGUAGAAUCACUGGUGAAUAAGGGGUGGGCAAGUUCUGGUGUCAGCCGCCGCGGUAAAACCAGCACCUCGAGUGGUCAGGAGGUUUAUUGGGCCUAAAGCAUCCGUAGCCCGGUUGCAUAAGUUUUCGGUUAAAUCUAUGCGCUUAACGUAUAGGCCGCCGAAAAUACUGUGCAGCUAAGG
This 588-nucleotide ribosomal RNA is filed under the name uncultured archaeon. RNAcentral's name for it is "bacterial SSU rRNA". It matches the Rfam family "Archaeal small subunit ribosomal RNA", at positions 1 to 597 of the family's 1478-position model. The record is from RNAcentral.